GGCAACGCUGGUUCUACCCUUCAGAGAAAGCGCGAGACUCGUCUUUAUAGACUCGUUUUUAGUUGUCUUCAUCACAAAAUAUCCCCCCAAAAAAGGGGGUAUGUUCUGUGGUCUUCAUCUACGGGCUUUAUCUAUGCGCCUAUGUGGCCUUGUUCCGUGUUCAUGUGAUUCGUCCUUUGCCGUUAAUUAAAUAUGGUUAGUUGUGUAUCUUGUGGUUGUUCCCUAACACCAAAACAUAAAACUUGUGGUGUAACAUUUCACAGUUUUCCGAAAGAUCCAAACAGGAGAACAAAAUGGAUACAGUUUGUGAAUAAGUUUGAAUUUAUUCCAAAACGCAGCAGUGUCUUAUGUUCGCAUCAUUUUGCUGACGACUGUUUUGAUCGUUCGUCUAAGCUGCAAGUGAGACUGCUAGCCAACGCCAUUCCAACAAUUGAAGUGGACCGGUUAAAAUAUGUAAGGUCGUUUAAUCCGAUAACAAAAACACAAUCGACAGACAAUAAUGUAGCUUCUAUAUCCGGACCAUCCGUGAGAGAACAGACUCCUUCGCCAGACCCAGAAUUUUUACGACAAGAAGUUACACCCCGUAAAAGUCAAUUAAGAAGGAAAAUUAGUGACCUGCAAAAAAACAAUAUUUUGAAGAGCCGUAAAAUACGAAAGUUGCAGAAGGAGAUCUGGCGACAGAAAAAACAAAUUUCUUCACUAAAGGCAAUGACAGUGGAGUUGAAAAAAAGAAAUUUAUUAUUAGACCCCAGAUAGCAUUUGAUAUUCUACGAAUAUCCCAGAAUGUUCAAAAAGUAUACAGAACAUUGCAGGAAUAUCCUGGGAAUAUACACGGGUGAACAUUCCUAACAUGAAUGUUCGUGGAAUAUACAUGCAUGUAUAUUCAUCAAAGUUCAUAAAAGGUAUAUCCUAAGUAUGUACAUAUAUGUACAAAUUGUGUAUAUGUGCAGACGAACAUGCCAGGUAUGUACAUAUUGUGUAUAUAUGCAGGUGAAUAUACCUAGUAUGUUCAAAACAAAUAUUCCGGUAAUAUACAUGAAUGUAUGUGUAUAUCAACGGUUUAUUCCAAAUUGGUUGAAUAUAAAUUUUGCGUGCCCGCAGCAGAAAAGUAAGGGCACGUACAAGUAAAUUAUUUAAUGAUUUUCCGUAUUGAAAAUUCACAUUUCUCUGUCUACGUCAAUACUAAUGAUAGAAAAAUACUUGUGCCCCAGGAAUAUGCAUGUACAUCACAUGAAUGUUCCAGGUAUAUUCUGGGAAUAUCAUUUUGCUAUGUGGGAGGAGCAUGAAAAUAUUAUGCUGGAUCAUUUUGGAGUGAGUAAAGUAGAUAUUCAAAGGCUUUUAAAUAAGUUUGAAAAUCAAAGUUAAAAAAAACAUAUGAACAUUCUGUUCGAGCUUUUGCUGUCACUUUGCACUUUUUUUCACCAAACGCAUAUGCUUAUGUUCGGCAAAAUUUCAAAAUUGCUUGCCUCACCCAAAUACAUUGGCUUAGUGGUAUUGUUAAGUAGAUGCCGAGCCAGUGUUUACUUCAGAAGCUCUUAACUUUUUAAAACUAAAAGUUAAAAAUUCUGAGGAACAAAAAUUAUUUGUUCUUUGGUUUUUGACGAAAUCUCCAUUAGAAAACACUUGGAAUAUGCUGGUAGUGAAUAUUAUGGAUAUGUGAAUUGUGGUAAUGGUUUGCAGCGGGACUAUAUGAAGUUAGCCACUGAAGUUGUGGUAUUCAUGCUGGUCUGCGUGAAUGAAGCAUGGAAUAUACCAAUAGCUUAUUUUUUUAUUGCAGGCAUUAAUAGCCAACAAAAAGUCUCCCUAGUGAAACCGGCUCUAGCGCUAUUAGAACAAGUCGGAGUUACUGUUAGUAACAUUACUUUUGAUGGGUGUGCAGCUAACUUUACGCACAGCGGCAACGCAGCUUCCAGCGUUUUCGGGACGCCUAGCUCGAUACUUCGAGAACGAACG
This is a long non-coding RNA of Dendroctonus ponderosae (mountain pine beetle), 1953 nucleotides long. RefSeq lists it as uncharacterized. The record is from RefSeq and is a predicted model, not a curated record. Lineage: Eukaryota; Metazoa; Arthropoda; Insecta; Coleoptera; Curculionidae. The transcript has 4 exons.